GUGCACAUUUCAUUGUCUUUUUUCUUCGCCUCAAGAAAAAAGGUAUUUCUGAUGUGCUAAAUAAACUUGGAGGUCAAUUAGCAGCAUGGCAUGUUAGCCACUGCUGUCAGUCACCUUCAGACAAAU
This is a small nucleolar RNA of Phodopus roborovskii (desert hamster), 126 nucleotides long. The record is from RefSeq and is a predicted model, not a curated record. Lineage: Eukaryota; Metazoa; Chordata; Mammalia; Rodentia; Cricetidae.